RNAcentral lists this ribosomal RNA (468 nucleotides) under uncultured bacterium. RNAcentral's name for it is "partial 16S ribosomal RNA". It matches the Rfam family "Bacterial small subunit ribosomal RNA", at positions 28 to 507 of the family's 1533-position model. The record is from RNAcentral.
GACGAACGCUGGCGGCGUGCUUAACACAUGCAAGUCGAACGGAAAGGCCCUGCUUUUGUUGGGUGCUCGAGUGGCGAACGGGUGAGUAACACGUGAGUAACCUGCCCUUGACUUUGGGAUAACUUCAGGAAACUGGGGCUAAUACCGGAUAGGAGCUCCUGCUGCAGGGUGGGGGUUGGAAAGUUUCGGCGGUUGGGGAUGGACUCGCGGCUUAUCAGCUUGUUGGUGGGGUAGUGGCUUACCAAGGCUUUGACGGGUAGCCGGCCUGAGAGGGUGACCGGCCACAUUGGGACUGGGAUACGGCCCAGACUCCUACGGGAGGCAGCAGUGGGGAAUAUUGCACAAUGGGCGGAAGCAUGAUGCAGCAACGCCGCGUGCGGGAUGACGGCCUUCGGGUUGUAAACCGCUUUCGCCUGUGACGAAGCGUGAGUGACGGUAAUGGGUAAAGAAGCACCGGCUAACUACGUG